Molecule: ribosomal RNA, 497 nt
Filed under: uncultured bacterium
Lineage: Bacteria
Description: partial 16S ribosomal RNA
Rfam family: Bacterial small subunit ribosomal RNA
Source: RNAcentral
GAUGAACGCUGGCGGCGUGCCUAAUACAUGCAAGUCGAGCGAACGGACGAGAAGCUUGCUUCUCUGAUGUUAGCGGCGGACGGGUGAGUAACACGUGGAUAACCUACCUAUAAGACUGGGAUAACUUCGGGAAACCGGAGCUAAUACCGGAUGAUAUUUUGAACCGCAUGGUUCAAAAGUGAAAGACGGUCUUGCUGUCACUUAUAGAUGGAUCCGCGCUGCAUUAGCUAGUUGGUAAGGUAACGGCUUACCAAGGCAACGAUGCAUAGCCGACCUGAGAGGGUGAACGGCCACACUGGAACUGAGACACGGUCCAGACUCCUACGGGAGGCAGCAGUAGGGAAUCUUCCGCGAUGGGCGAAAGCCUGACGGAGCAACGCCGCGUGAGUGAUGAAGGUCUUCGGAUCGUAAAACUCUGUUAUUAGGGAAGAACAUAUGUGUAAGUAACUGUGCACAUCUUGACGGUACCUAAUCAGAAAGCCACGGCUAACUACGUG